This 1783-nucleotide long non-coding RNA is filed under the name Homo sapiens (human). RNAcentral describes it as "HSALNT0366512". Lineage: Eukaryota; Metazoa; Chordata; Mammalia; Primates; Hominidae. The record is from RNAcentral.
AGAUUAACCUUUUCGGUGACGCGGGGAGCCAUAUUGAAACCUGGAAACGAUGAGGCUGCACGGCUCACCGUCUUGGAUAAUGGCAAAGAUGGCCUGCAAGUGCGUGACUCUCGUUAUGGAAAUCUCUGUCCUGGAGAGGUGCUUACGAAAAGCGCCAUCUUACUCUAGGCAGGUGCCUGGAGUGUCCUACGAGGACGAGGACCAUAUUGAAUCGUGACGGAUUUUCUUACAGGAGUCACUUCCUAACUGUAGUCUCCUGGCAGAAAAGAGGCAACCUCCAGCCGGUAGUCCCAGACGAGGUACCUGCAGAGAAUGAUGUAUGAUCUGGUCAUAGACACCGUGGAUUUCAACUCUCCAGAGUCUAAACGCUGAAAACACCCAACUUGAUUUAGUGCCUUACACUCUUUAUCUCCGAUUUUUCAGGACGACACCUGUUAAAAUGUUUUGCCACACUUUCGGCGUGUAUUCCGAUUAUCUUUUUGGAAAAUUUGAUCCUGUUAAAUAGACUAUACGUGGGAUCAACCCAAUUCCUGAUAAAAUCGGAAGCAUAAUGAACUAUCUAAUGGCCUAUAUUAGCUCCCAGUUCUAUUAUAAUGAUAAAUGCUACCGAACUCUCACCAUAAAUAUGCUUUUUCUGCGCCCCAAAGGUAAACUUAACCACAACACCCUGACAGUACAGAUAGCAAGUGGCAAAACUGAGACAGAAACUCAAGCCUGCCUCAUUACAACAGCAGCAGUCUUCACCGCUGCUGGAGCUGGCAAGGUCACCAAGUCUGCCCAGAAAGCUCAGAAGGCUAGAUGAAUAUCAUCCCUAAUACCUGCCACCCCACUCUUAAUCAGUGGUGGAAGAACGGUCUCAGAACUGUUUGUUUCAACUGGCCAUUUAAGUUCAGUAGUAAAAGACUGGUUAAUGAAAACAAUGCAUCGUAAAACCUUCAGAAGGAAAGGAGAAUGUUUUGUGGACCACUGGUUUUCUUCUUCAGAAGGAAAGGAGAAUGUUUUGUGGACCACUGGUUUUCUUUUUUGCGUGUGGCAGUUUUAAGUUAUUAGUUUUUUAAAUCAGUACUUUUUAAUGGAAACAUCCAAAAAUUUGUCACAGAAUUUUGAGACCCAUUAAAAAAGUUUAAUGAGAAAAAAAAAAAAAGCAAACCUGCCUCUAAUUUGUCUGCUCCACCUUGGAAAGUGAUAUCUUAAAUUUCAAAAAGAAUUACCACAUUUAUCCCUGGCGAGGACGUGAGGAACAGUCUAAUCUCAUACACUGUUGGCAGGAAUGUAAAUUGGCACGGCAUUUUUAAAAGGGAAAUUAACAGAAUUUAUCAAAAUAUUAAUUGGACGUAAUCUUCAAUUUAGCAGUUUCACUAAUAAAUAUUGUAGAGAAAUCCUUAUAUGCACAAAAAAGUAUGUACAAUAAUACUACAGCAUUGUUUGUAAUAGUGAAAAAAAUGGAAACAAAAUGACCAUCUAUCAAUGGGAAAUGGUUAAUGGUAUAUCUAUUACUAUGAGAUGUUUUGAACUAAAGGGUUAGCCAUUGAAAGAGAUCCAAGAUUUUUUAAAGCCAACUGCAAAAAACAUACAGCAUUAUCAACUUUUGUCGAAACACCCCAAAAUUAUAUAUGCAUGCAUGUAAAUGCAUUGAGAAGGCUUUCAAAGGAUAUAAGGCUAAGUGGGGGAAAGAAACUUAUUUUCUCCUCCAUAUAUUUCUCUGUUGUUUAAGAUUUAUAUAGCUAUUAUUGUCACUGAAUACAUGUUAAAAGAAAAAUAAAGACAGAAAAGUGGUUUAUUA